UGGGGAAUUUUGGACAAUGGGCGAAAGCCUGAUCCAGCAAUGCCGCGUGUGUGAAGAAGGCCUUCGGGUUGUAAAGCACUUUUGUCCGGAAAGAAAUCCUCUGGGUUAAUACCUCGGGGGGAGUGACGGUACCGGAAGAAUAAGCACCGGCUAACUACGUGCCAGCAGCCGCGGUAAUACGUAGGGUGCAAGCGUUAAUCGGAAUUACUGGGCGUAAAGCGUGCGCAGGCGGUUUUGUAAGACGGAUGUGAAAUCCCCGGGCUUAACCUGGGAACUGCAUUCGUGACUGCAAGGCUAGAGUAUGGCAGAGGGGGGUAGAAUUCCACGUGUAGCAGUGAAAUGCGUAGAGAUGUGGAGGAAUACCGAUGGCGAAGGCAGCCCCCUGGGCAAUACUGACGCUCAUGCACGAAAGCGUGGGGAGCAAACAGGAUUAGAUACCCUGGUAGUCCACGCCCUAAAACGAUGUCAACUAGUUGUUGGGGAUUCAUUUCCUUAGUAACGUAGCUAACGCGUGAAGUUGACCGCCUGGGGAGUACGGUCGCAAGAUUAAAACUCAAAUGAAUUGACGGGGUCAUAGCUGUUUCCU
RNAcentral lists this ribosomal RNA (586 nucleotides) under uncultured bacterium. RNAcentral's name for it is "partial 16S ribosomal RNA". It matches the Rfam family "Bacterial small subunit ribosomal RNA", at positions 355 to 1375 of the family's 1533-position model. The record is from RNAcentral.